GGAAUUUUCCGCAAUGGGCGAAAGCCUGACGGAGCAACGCCGCGUGGGGGAUGACGCUUUUCGGAGUGUAAACCCCUUUUCCCAGGGAAGAACACAAUGACGGUACCUGGGGAAUAAGGACCGGCUAACUACGUGCCAGCAGCCGCGGUAAUACGUAGGGUCCGAGCGUUGUCCGGAGUUACUGGGCGUAAAGCGCGCGCAGGCGGUUCGAUAAGACUGGCGUGAAAGCCCCCGGCUCAACCGGGGAGGGUCGUUGGUGACUGUCGGACUUGAAGACAGCAGGGGCAGGUGGAAUUCCCGGUGUAGUGGUGAAAUGCGUAGAGAUCGGGAGGAACACCCGUGGCGAAGGCGGCCUGCUGGGCUGGUCUUGACGCUGAGGCGCGAAGGCGUGGGGAGCGAA
This 400-nucleotide ribosomal RNA is filed under the name uncultured bacterium. Its description in RNAcentral is "bacterial SSU rRNA". It matches the Rfam family "Bacterial small subunit ribosomal RNA", at positions 358 to 772 of the family's 1533-position model. The record is from RNAcentral.